CUUAAAACUCAAAGGACUUGGCGGUAUCCCAUUUCGGCCUAGAGGAGCCUGUCCUAUAAUCGACACUCCCCGUUCCACCCAACCUCCACUUGCACAUUCAGCCUAUAUACCGCCGUCGACAGUCUACCCCAUGAGGGCCUUUUAGUAGACACAAUAGCAACAACUCGCUAACACGUCAGGUCAAGGUGUAGCAAAUGUUGAGGAAGAGAUUGGYUACAUUUUUUAUUUCAAAACAAACGAAAUGCAACAUGAAACAUUGCACGAAGGUGAAUUUAGUAGUAAAAUGAAUAAGAGAGUUCAUUUUAACACC
RNAcentral lists this ribosomal RNA (310 nucleotides) under Acanthodactylus boskianus (Bosk's fringe-fingered lizard). RNAcentral's name for it is "partial 12S ribosomal RNA". The record is from RNAcentral. Lineage: Eukaryota; Metazoa; Chordata; Lepidosauria; Squamata; Lacertidae.